ACGUGACAUCAGCACGGACAACGCCUUCUUCUCGACUGAAAAUGCAAAUGUCGAGCCUGCGUGGUGUACUUGAGUCCGUCCGACUUGUGUCGUGCUUCGUGUGGAUCGCAGAUCACAUCUGCAGCAUCGGCAAGAUGAACUCACUCUGUCUUCUGACGCUCUCAGUCCUUCUGGCCUCCUGUGCCGGUCAGAGUAUGGAGUCCAUUCCUUCUAGUACGGUCGUGAAACAAGCGGGUCAGACCCUCAGUCUUUCUUGCAAAGGCUCUGGGUUCACGUUUUCCUGCUGCACUAUGCACUGGAUCCGGAAAGCUCCCGGAAAAGGCCUUGAAUGGAUCGGAGAGGGCUAUUCAUCGUCCAGUCGCAACAAAUAUGCCAGCAGCUUGACAGGACGACUUACCAUUAGCAGAGAUGAUGCCAACAGCAUGGUUCAUCUGACACUAUCAAACCUACAGCCCGAAGAUUCUGCCGUCUAUUACUGUGCAAAAUACCACACAAGUGGAACCACACAGCAGGGCGCUCCAAAAACAAGGAAGUUGGGGGAGGGCUGCAAGUCGUGAGGUACACACAACAAGAAGUAAACAUGAAGAAUGGUAAAUCCAAAUCUUCACCAUAUUGUUGAUCAGCCUAUUUCUCCUUUACAAGGGGAUGAACUGAAAAUGGGGAAAGUUAUUUUUUUUUCACAAAAAUUCACAUUUUAAGUUGAACAGGAACGCUACAAUAUUAGAUGGAUAAUAAAUAAUACAAUAAAAAUUCACACUCAUUGUCACAUUGGACAAUAUGUCAAUAUUAUUUGAUUUAUAACAGUUACAAGAUUAUUAUUUUUAUAUUUUUCCAUUCACAUCAGGAUGAAAAUCCAGUUUUGUCACUCACAUACAAAAAUUAUUAUGACACUUCAACAACUUUGUAGUCCACAUUAAAUUGUUUCUUGAAAUAACAAUAAAAUAACCAUCAAAAUCAUUUUUACGAUAAACAUUUGAUCAAUGUGCUUUUAAAAGUGCUUGUUUUGCAGUUUUGACAAUUUGUAUAAACUCUUUUAUUUUUUUCAUAUUUCCAUCACAACACCAUUUCCCGUAAUUUUAUUUUAUAAUGCACAUCCACUCUUUUUUUCGGUCAUGUCAUUUUUAUGAGACGUCGACCAUACUUUGUAUUAGACAUGGGAAUUCUUGAAAUAAGAAAAGAAAAACUCAAUGGGAUUUUCAAAAUUCAAUUUCUUUCAGUCAUAUAUGAAGAAAAGCUAACUACAUAUUCUUCUCCAAUUAUGCAAUGUGUUGGUUUUGGUCAGUGGGUCAAUGAGAAAAAUAGGUUAAUAUCUUCAAUUGCACACCUGAGGUUGAGGUUGACCUGAAAAAUAAACAAACAAAAAUACAAAAAAACCCCAAAACUUUUGAUACAGCAUGUUACUGUUUCCUCCUAUGUUCACGUUGUGCUGAGUUUCUGAGCAUCCCGCCGGUGCUUUAACAUUCCAUUUCCCUCUAUGCAAAGCAGACUUCCCACCCAUGAGCUAUAAAACCCCCCGGUAAGUGCAGUACCCAUGAGAACGCCUUCAGUGUUCUUGCCUCAAACCAAUACUAAGAUGACAGACGCAAUGCUAAGGUUCUUGACGGUCGCUCUUUGCGCUUUGACGGCCGCUGAAGGCUGGAGCAUCGAACAGUCUGAAGCAGUGUCCAAAAGAGCUGGAGAAUCGCACACACUGACAUGCAAAACAGAUGGAUUAGAUUUUUCUAG
Syngnathoides biaculeatus (alligator pipefish) is the source of this 1725-nucleotide non-coding RNA. Lineage: Eukaryota; Metazoa; Chordata; Actinopteri; Syngnathiformes; Syngnathidae. The record is from the annotation of a RefSeq genome assembly.